Molecule: long non-coding RNA, 416 nt
Filed under: Nicotiana benthamiana
Lineage: Eukaryota; Viridiplantae; Streptophyta; Magnoliopsida; Solanales; Solanaceae
Description: long non-coding RNA (NBEN_LNC020004)
Source: RNAcentral
GGAAAAAUACACUAAACAUCUAGUAGAACAAAAAUACAUCAUAUAUCUAAGAAAAGAAACAGAUAAAAACCUCGAAUAUCUUAGGGUUUCGGAGAAACCGUAUAAAUGAGAAAGGCUUGGAAGAGAGUUAGAUCUCGAGUCGCAGAGGUCAGAAAAGGCUUCUAGUGCUUCAAUAUGCCGGAGCAUGGCUGGAGAGGCCAUAGAACUAUAGAUCUGAGAAGAUCUAAGAGAGAAACGUCAAAGUCAGACUUCAAAACCUCGAACACCCAAGGUUUAAUGGUGGAGAGGGGUGAAUAUAGACCAUCCAUGGCCUAAGAAGCCAUGGAUUCCGCUGAAAGUAUGGUGAAAAAAAGGUAGGAGAUGGUUAGGGUUCCGAAGAACCUUUGAGAGAGUUUGAGAGACGAAAUGGUUCAAAG